Molecule: long non-coding RNA, 217 nt
Filed under: Elaeis guineensis (African oil palm)
Lineage: Eukaryota; Viridiplantae; Streptophyta; Magnoliopsida; Arecales; Arecaceae
Description: long non-coding RNA (EGUI_LNC048353)
Source: RNAcentral
AGUAUCAGCUGCUGGAGCCGGACUCCACCCACAACCUCAACCGAAAGGAGGACCCCUCCCGGACUCCUACAAAGGCCGAACUCCGACCACUGCCGAGCCUCGGUCAACAGAUCCGCGCCCCCUGGCGGAUUACAAUAACAACCAUGAUCCUGUUCCACUUCCUGUAGCGGAUUCCGCGCGGCUUCAUCACCCCCUGCGGCGGACCCAUUACUCUCUG